RNAcentral lists this transfer RNA (71 nucleotides) under Ovis aries (sheep). It matches the Rfam family "tRNA". Rfam says of the family: Transfer RNA (tRNA) molecules are approximately 80 nucleotides in length. Lineage: Eukaryota; Metazoa; Chordata; Mammalia; Artiodactyla; Bovidae. The record is from Rfam by way of RNAcentral.
UUCCAGGUACUUCAGCUGGUAAAGGUCUGCCUGCAAUGCAGGAGACCCUGGUUCAAUUCCAGGGUUGGGAA